This 432-nucleotide ribosomal RNA is filed under the name uncultured archaeon. RNAcentral describes it as "bacterial SSU rRNA". It matches the Rfam family "Archaeal small subunit ribosomal RNA", at positions 474 to 903 of the family's 1478-position model. The record is from RNAcentral.
UACCUGCAGCUCAAGUGGUAGCCGCUAUUAUUGGGCCUAAAACGUUCGUAGCCGGUUUAAUAAAUGCCUGGGUAAAUCGUAUGGCUCAACUAUACGAAUUCCGGGUAGACUGUUAAACUUGAGACCGGGAGAAGUCGGAGGUACUCCUGGGGUAGAGGUGAAAUUCUGCAAUCCUAGGGGGACCACCAGUGGCGAAGGCGUCCGACUAGAACGGGUCUGACGGUGAGGGACGAAGCCCCUGGGGGCGCAAACCGGCUAGAUACCCGGGUAGUCCAGGGUGUAAACGCUGCUUGCUUGAUGUUAGUUGGGCUCCGAGCCCAAUUAGUGUCGGAGAGAAGUUGUUAAGCAAGCUGCCUGGGAAGUACGGUCGCAAGACUGAAACUUAAAGGAAUUGGCGGGGGAGCGACAGCAACGGGUGGAGGCGUGCGGUUU